This 323-nucleotide long non-coding RNA is filed under the name Brassica napus (rape). RNAcentral describes it as "long non-coding RNA (BNAP_LNC016026)". Lineage: Eukaryota; Viridiplantae; Streptophyta; Magnoliopsida; Brassicales; Brassicaceae. The record is from RNAcentral.
GAGAGGCAGAAAAAAGGUUCGACACUUAGAAACUUUGAGGCAUUAUUCUCGACAUGCUCUGUAGCUAUGACUGGCACCCAAUUACCAGACGAAUGCGCACAAGCAGUUCGAUCUCUUGGUUCACUCUCGAACUACGUUCGGCUUGAUCCUCGAAAGGGGUACGUAGGCAGCCUUUCAUAAGGUUCAGUUCGAACUCAAUCAAAACCAUUUUUCAUAUCUUUUUCGUCUUCUGUUAUCGAGGUGCAACUAAAGUAGGUUUACGGUUUUAGGUUGCUAGGACUAGGUAAUUCGCUGACAGCUCUUGCGGCCGAAGCUUUUAUAAU